Molecule: non-coding RNA, 9219 nt
Organism: Monodelphis domestica (gray short-tailed opossum)
Lineage: Eukaryota; Metazoa; Chordata; Mammalia; Didelphimorphia; Didelphidae
Source: RefSeq, a predicted model, not a curated record
CACUUCUAUAAGAGAGGAAUAGAAAAAAAUUCCAGGAUAAGGAUGUAAUAAAGUAUAAAAUGUCAAAGCAUGGAAUAAAACUUUUCAUGUGAAAGCUUUUUACUCAUGCCAAAAUAUUAGCAUUAUUGUAGUUGGUCAGAAUUACUAAAAUGACAGUUAUAACCAUUCAAUUAAAAAUCAUUCAAUACAGAACAAGUAGAAAGCAAUUAUCAUGCAGACUAAACAAAGAUUAGAUGUAUUUCAGAAAGUAGGAAAACAAGAUGGGAAACAAAGAUGAAACUAAAAGAUGACAAACUUUCAAACUGAUCAAUUAAUGACACUUUCUUGAUUAUUAAAUUGUAAAUAAAUAAUGCAAUGAGACUGGGUAUGCUCAAGGCAUCAUGAUGGCUGCUUUGUUAAAAAGAAGAAAGGAAAAGCCCCUGGGUUGAUGGUAAAAUGGUUAGUUAGAAUAUCUAGUGACCUAACCGGCCCAAAGGUAUUUCUUGCUCAAACAGAGAGCUGAUGGCUGCUCUCUGACCUUGUUUCGGUAUGUUGGAGGCACAGGUCUAGCAGAUUAGGGAACACCAAAGGAGUAGAGAAUAAUGGUUGAUUAGGUACUUUUACAAAAACCUAACCCCCCUGGAUGUCCUUCUGGUAAAACCCCUUGAUGGAAGAAGAUCAAUGGUGUCCAAACCAGGACCUGGUUCUGAUAGACAUCUCCCUCUUUUAUCAAAACCCUCCAACCACCAACCCUCCUUCUUCUUUCCUUAAAGAUCUGACUGCUAAUUAUGUACAACUGCUAUUUAUUUGGGAAAGGGUAAUAAGGGAGAGGACUAGGAAAGAGGUCACACAGGGGUGACCUUAGGCUAAAAGCCCAGACUGAAGGUAGGCCCUUUCGCUUUGGGCAACAGCUGGGAUCAGUCUGGAAGCUUUAUCUAUGUUCUUGUUCUCCUAUGCCGGCCACCUAAAUCUAGCAUUAAAGAAUCAGCAAAUGUCUUUAGGUGUAGCAGGCAUGGAGGGAGAUGAUAUAGGUUUCAUGACUGACUCAACCUGCCCUUCAGGGUAAAACCCUCUUAGGCAGUCCAGUCAGUCCACACAGGUCUUGAUUUAAAGGAGAGAGAGGAUCAGUUCACAGUCACUGUGGGCAUAGGAUAUGAUCAGGAAAUCCUCAUGAAAAUAGUUUCCAAUCCUGAGGUGAGAAUCAGAGCUGCUUUCACUCCACGGUUCAAAACUAAACACCCGAGACUUCAUUGGUUCCCAUAAUUCCCUGCCCCCAACCAUUCCAACUCACCCUGUCACCCUGUUUCUCCAGGAUUCCAUUUCCACUCUGUGUAAAAUCUUCCCUUACAGUCUACAGGAUUAGAAGGAGUCCAGAAAUGGAUGAUAUCAUAGAUCCAUCAAAGAUGGAACCAUAUUAUUUUUGAGUAUAAUAAAAUCCUUAGUAAAAUUAACUUGAAGAUUUUUAACCAAAUAUAACCUUAAAAAGAUAAACAGCUACAGAAUCAUGCUAUAUGUGAAAUGAUACUGUGAAAAAUACUCAAGACAAAGUGCCAAAGUGGAUCUUAGAAAAUAUUUCAUAUAACCUCAUUUUACAAAUGAAAAAAACUGAGACCCAGAAAGAUGAAAUGACUUACCUAAAAAAUCAUAUAGCUAAUAAACUGCAAAAGAUCCAAAUUUCAUUCUUUGAGGGUGGGGGGUGUAAAAAGAACUACAGUUUUAAUUGGAGGCUUCAGUGCAAUUGAAAAAAAUAAUAAAUACUGUAAUCAGUUUUAGGACCAUACACUUUUGAAUGGGGGCCAAUAAUUUCAGUUGUAGAGGCCAUGUUUACUGAAACAAUAAGAAAAGGAAUUAUUCUUUGGAAAAUCCUUUGAUGGCUGAGAAUAAAAGCCACCACCAGACAUACACUUUGCAAUUCUUCCUAUAGGACCUUAAUGACUCAGCAAACCUGGGAUCCAAUUCAAACUUUUAGAGAUGACAUUUGAGCAUGCAUGAUGUCAUCAACCAGGAGAAUACUGGUGGCAAUUACAGUGCAAGACUGAAGAAACUGCUUCUUGACAUAAUAGUUAUCCCAAAUGCCAGCUUCAGCCACAAUAAUGUGCUCACCUGUCUUCAAAUUGACAAGUUGUCUUGAUUCUUCAUGUUCAGUGUGUACCUUAACUAAUGCUUCCUGACGGUCAAAACCAAAGUUCUGAGCAAGAACCUUGGUAAUAAUGAGCAAAACAUCAACAAAAGCUUGGAUUCCAAGACAGGCACUUCCCAUGACAUUGAACUUAUGUUUAAUGAGAGAGCUUAGGCUAUGGCCACUUCCACUGCACCCGCACCAACUAUACAGCCAUCUUCAACAGUAUUCUUGACAGCACGCAGACCAUCUCUUACUGCAUCCUGGAACUGUAUAAGGGUGUACUUAUUUGAUCCUUUGACCAUCAAUGUGACAGAUUGAGGGUUGCCACAUUUCUCAAUAAAGGUGAAUUUUUCUUCUCCCAGGGUAUAGUCAUAGACCAGGCCUGCAUGUCCCAAACAGUCAGGAUUUAACUCUUCAGAAGAAUUCAUAGCCAUCCCACCACAUGCAAGACUCAAUCUUUCCAUUUUCUUCUUUUUUGCUCUGUGGAGGGAUACUAUACCUUCUUUUGCAAGAAUAUCUAGAGGAAAAGAGUUCCUUUUGAUUAAUAACAACAAAUCCUUUGUCUAAAUCACAGCACACUUUUCAGUUCUAUUUUCUUUACUCCAUCUUCACUGAAUUUCCUUUCCGCUUUUACUAGCUUCUCUCUCUCCUCUGCACUCUUGUAAAAAAAAAAUCCAGAAUUAACUUCUGGUUUUUCAUAUUCUAAUGACACAUUACAUGUAAGGAUAUAAGUGUCUUCUACUCUUUUUUUUAUAUCAGGGUGUAGGGCAGCAUGGUCUAAAACCAGGACUCUCAUCAUUGAUGUGUCAGUUUCUGAUUUAUGCUUCAUCUCCAUGAUUUCUACUAUGAAAAGAUCAAUAGGUUCACCAGGUUUUCUGACAGUCAAAAUUGAGUCUACUACUGCCUCAGUCAGCACAUCAGCCAAGUCAGCAUUGACUUCGGUGUGCAGGGAUGAUCAGGCCACAUCUAUGAAUUUCUCUAUUUCCUUGCUGAUUUUGACAUGUUCCAAGACUUCAGUGCCUUCAUCUUGGCAGCUUGAAACCCUUCUGUUAUUCUCCGGGGUAUAGCCCUUCAGAGAUGGAGAGAAAGAAAGAUCAGCCAGUUUCAGCAUCUCUCCAAUGAUGAGAACAUUUGAAGUAGUGCCAUCACCAAUAAUGUCUUCCUAUGCUGUAUCUACUUUGGUUAUCAAGGAGCUGUUGGGUGUCGAAUGUGUAUCUUGUGUAACAACACAUUGCCAUUCUUGGUGAGCUUGAUGUCUCAGGCGCCAGAUAUAAACAUCUUCAUGGUGCCCUUGGGCCCCGGGUUGGUCCUCAACACAUCCUGUAGCCCCCAGAAUGCACUGAUUUCAUGGUCAGCAUAAUCUGGCUUUGGGCCACCUUGGCUUUGGGGUUAAGUGCCUUUAUGGCCAACAUAACUAUGGUGCAGUGGCAGCUGUGGACAAGGAGAAAAAAGGGGAGGAGAGCACAACUGAAGUGGCUCAAGAUGAGCCCAGCUCCACAUAGAUCCAAGAGACCACCCAAAUUUCAUUCUACUCAAUUUCUUAUAGCACCUAAUACAUAUCACAAUUAUAUCCCACAAUUUGUGCAGCCAUUCCCUAGUACUAAGCAUCCUUUUAAUUUCCAAUUCUUUGCUACCACAAAAAGAAAUGUUAUAAAUAUUUUUGUAUAUAUGUAUCCUUUUCCCUCUGAUCUCUUUUCAGUAUAGACCUAAUAAUAUUUCUGGGUCAAAAAGAUAUACACUGUUUUAUAGCCCUUUGGAUAAAGUCCAAAAUUGUUUUCCAAAUGGCUGAAAUAGUUCAUAACUACUCCAACAGUUUUAUUAAUGUUCCUAUUUUCCUACUUCCCUUCCAGCAUUUGUCAUUUCUGAUAUAACAUGGUAUAUACCUCAGAGUUGUUUUAAUUUGCAUUUUUCUAAUCAAUAGUGAUUUAGAACAUUUUUUCACAUGCCUAUAAAAAGCUGUGAUUUCUUCUGAAAGCUACCUGUUCAUAUUCUUGACAAUUUAUCAUUUGGGGAAUGGUGCCUAUUUUUAUAAAUCUGACUCCGUUCCCUAUAUAAUUUGAGAAAAGAAGCCUUUAUCAGAGAAAUUUACCAUAAAAGUUUUUUAUAUUAUUUCAUUAUCUAUGGUACCUUUCAGCAAAUGUCAUUUCCCUAAUUGGGCAUCUAGAAAGUGCAGUGGGAAUAGAGCAAAGUCAGAAAGAUCUGAGUUCAAAAAUGGCUUCAGACACUAAUUGUAUAGCCCUGGGCAAAUGACUUAGUCUUGUUAAAGAAGACACAUUUUUCUUACAUUAGAGAAAAAUUCAUGGAGGAAGUAAAGUGAAGAAUUGUAUGCUUCCAUCUGCAUUUACACUUCAUCAUUUCAUUCUCUGGUGGUGAAUAGCCUUUUUUGUCCUGAAUCUCUUGGCGUUGUCCUGGAUCUUUGCAUUGAGAAUAGUUAAGUCAUUCACGGCUGAUCCUCAUACAUUAUUGCUAUUACCGUGACCGUGUAUAAUGUUCUCCUGCUUCUGCUCACUUCAUUUUGCAUCACUUCACAUAAUUCUUUCCAGAUUCUCCUGUGAUGUUUUUGUUCACAGUUUCUUAAGGCACAAUAGUAUUAAAAGCAUAAAUCAUAACCUAUUCGGUCAUUCCUCAAUUCAUGGGGCAUUCCUUCAGUUUCCAGUUCUUUACCAGUACAAAAAGAGCUGUUAUAAAUAUUUUUGUACAAGUAGGUCCUUUUCCCUUAUUUUUUAUCUUUUCAGGAUAGAGAUCUAGUAAUGUUAUUACUAGGUCAAUGCACAGUUUAUGACCCUUUGGAAAUGGUUCCAAAUUGCUCUCCAGAAUGUUUGGAUCAGUCCAUAGCUCCAAUGACAGUGUAUUAGUGUCUUGAUUUUUCCAUAUCUCCUCCAAUAUUUAUCAUUUUCCUUCUUUGUUAUAUUAGCCAGAUAGGUGUGAGAUGGUACUUCAGAGUUGGUUUAAUUUGCAUUUUUCUAACAGUGAUUUAAAGCCUUUUUUCAUCUGACUAAAGAUAGUUCCAAUUUCUUCAUGAAAAUUGCCUACUUAUAGCCUUUGAUUAUUUGUCAACUGAGGAAUGCUUUAUAUUCUUAUUUAUCUCGGUUCUCUAUACAUUUGAGAAAUGAGAUCUUUGUUAUAUACUUGCUAUAAAACAUCCCCUUCCCCCCAUUUGUUGUUUUUUUCUAAUCUUUGUUGCAUCUUUUUGUCUGUACAAAAAUGCAUACCUCCUGGCCCUAGAAUUGGUAACCAGGUCCCCGGCUCUCCAUAAUGUUCUCUGCCUUGGAACUACAUUCAGGACCACGUAACCAACUAUAAGCAUUCUUCUGCACUGUAAUAUUUAUUGGGAAAGGAAAUGAGAAUUUGGAAAACAGGGAAAGAGUUGCCCCUUCCCCCACCAACUGUUAGUCUUGUUUCCUUUCCACAGCACCCUGAAACAGGGACCUAUACCUUUGUAUGGGCAAAAGAGUUAUUAAUCAGCACCAGCUGAACCAGCUGAAGCCAGCAAAUAGUCUCCUGUAAUCUCUCAGACACCCUUCCCACCUCUGAAUGGAUAGCUCCCAAAGCUACUAUUGUCAAUCUUAACCACCUCCCAAAAGGCCUACCACUGCUUUUACUGCUACCUGGGCUCUGGGCUGGUCCUCAUUCAGGUGUUACCAGACCUCUCCUGCCAACCUCCUAUAUGAAACUAGAAAAAUACCUCACUCUAACCUUUGCUGCCUUUACUGUUUCAGAAUUUCAUUUGAGGCUUUCUUUUAAAGUUUUUGGAAGGGAAUGUUAAGAAAAUGUGACUGGAUUAUUUUGUUGUCUUUAUCUUUUUGGCUCCCCCUCAGUCUAGUUAAUUCUAACAGAGAUUUGGCUCCUGAGUAAAAAACUGGUUUUGGUCAUAGCAACUGAAAAAAAUUUAAUUGAGUCAUAAUGUAGUUGAAUAUGUACCCAUAUUAUUUUCCCUGAGAGAAUCUAAGCUCUUUGAGGGAACUGAAUUUUUUCAUUUUUGUCUCUAUAUCCUCAGUGCCUGGCAGUGUCUAAUAUAUACCAGGUAGUUAAUAAACACUUGUAGAUUGACAUAUACAAUUGUGCUAAGAAUAUAGCAAGACCAAUUCAUUAUGAAUAACAAUAUUCCUGUGGGAAAAUAUGCUUAAAGUUUUAACUUGGGAAGCCAGAAACAUAUCUGACCUAACUUCCUGCCCUAAUGAUUCUACUAACUCCAUAGUAUUGGUGUAGUAGCUCUCUGGCCAGGGAUUUUAUGUCACAGACUGGCAGUCUGGUGAAUUUUAUUGACCCCUUUCUCAGAAUAUUUUUAAUGAAUAAAAUGCAUGGGGUUCCAAAGGAAACCAAUAAUGCUGCAAUAAAGAUGUAAUUUUUUUUCUAUCCAAGUUCAAAGAUUCCUUGAAAUCUUUCUUUAGAUGCAAAGUUAAGAACUUUUGUUCUUAAGCCUGAAGCAAGAUUCUAGCAAAGAACAGCAGUGGAUACUAGGGUAAGUAAUGGAAAAGGGAGACGAUGUUGUAGGGUAUUAGAGGGAAGAAGUUGUUGGGAAAGAGUCCCUUACCAAUUUAGAUGAAAACUACCUGGAAUCAAUACUGAGUUAUCUCUUGGCCCAAAAUCUCUGUAUUCUUCUGGAAUCUGUGAAUCUUAAAAACUACUCAGACUGUACUUUAGAAGAUUUGAUUUAGCUAUUUCCUUAUUGUAACAAUGGAGAUACUUGGUCUAACAAGAAUCAGGAAUGUAUUGGGAACUUUUAAAAUUAUUCCACUCUACUCAGACAGUGCCUUAGGGGAAGAUAAAGUUGUAAACUCCUGAUUGAACAAUGAAGGUACUUAACCCAUGACUUAUAGUGAAGCUAGAACUUUAAGCUAAGUCUAUUUUUAGAUCUAAUACAAAAGGGUGUUAAGUACCUAUAAAGGUUAAAUUAAUCACAAAAAGGUCAAGUAACUCACAAAAAGGAAGCUUAACAAAGAAAUGUGAAGUACUCAGAAGAUAUAAUCUAACCAGAGAAGGUGAGAACUAAGAAUGGGCAGUCCUGGAAAAAAGUGUCUACUGUGAUUGGUAGACAUGAAAAUUUAGGGGAGGUGACAUAAGAGGAAAUUUCUUUAAAAAGAGGGGUAAAAAGUCAGUUCAGGGAAUUCAGUUCAGAGAGGAACUGGAGUCAGAACUCAGUUCAGGAGAUUGAGUUCAGUGGAGGACAGGAGCUUCCUUGGAGACGGUCUUGUGGUGAGUGAAAAGACUGAUUCCCUUUCCUUUAGACUCAGGAAGGCCACUUUGGCCAAGGCCUUUAAACUACUGCCUGGCUCAGCCCGAGCCAGAGCAAUUUAAAUUAAUUCUCUCUCUCCUUUCCUUAAUUCCUUCUCUCUAUAUUAAUUAAAAUCUUCAUAAUUCCCUGCCUUGGGUGUUUUAUUAUUUGGGAAUCAUCCCUGGUGACCAAUUAUUUAGAUCUAAGUCAAAACACUAAAAUUAUCCUUACAGUUUUGGCUGACCACGUAGGUUUGUGACAAAAACCCUCAAAUUUCUGUGAAAUCUCUUUCCUUUCUCUCGUCAUUACUUGCUCAAGUCAGUAAGUCUUUUUAAACAUGCUAACUCAACUUCAAAAUACAGCUGCAAGAGCGGGUGAGUAAAUUUAUGCUUCCCAUUCUACUAUUUCAUAACAGGUUCUCUCUCUCCACCAAAAUAUUAAAUAAAACAAAGCUUCACAACUUCUUUUUUCCCUGAUAUAAUCAGAUUAAAGCUUUGGAGGUUUUCCAUUGGUAGUAACAGUGCAUUUAUAAUAUGUUCUUCACAGUAUUGUAGAUGUGCACUAUAUGGCACACAGGAGGUGCUUAAUAAAGAUGGUCUCUCUUAUUAUAAGAAUACAAUUCAAUUUAAUAAAAAGUGAUGGGAGUGGGGGAACAGGCAGCUAGGGUGGCUCUGUGGAUUGAGAGCCAGACCUAGAGAUGGCAGGUCCUGGAUUGAGAUCUGGCCUCAGACACUUCCUAGCUAUGUGAGAUCCUGGGCAAGUCACUUAACCCCCAUUUCCUAACCCUUACUGCUCUUCUGCUUUGGAGCCAAUACACAGUAUUGAUUCUAAGACAGAAGGUAAGGGUUUUUAAAAAAAGCGAUUAGAAUCUACUCUGUACCAGUCACUAUGAAAGGCUGUAGAGGCAAUAAAUGAAGGAAUCCAUGACCUCAAGAUAUUUACAUUUUAUUGGGAGGAUAUGACAUUACAAAGAAAUAAAAUCAAGAUAUUUUAAAAGGAUAGAUAAAGAACAAUAACUUAGUGGUCCUAUGAAAACUUCAGUUAGGAGUUGAAAUCUGAGCAGAAUCCUACAGGAAGCUAAGAAUUCUAGAAAGAAGAUGCAGAGUUCCAAGUAUGAGGGACAAUCUAUGGAAACCAUGGAGCCUGGAAAUGGAAUAUUAAGUUUGAGGAACAGGUACCAAUUAGACAAUUUUACUAGAACAGAACAUGUAAGAAUGGUAGUAUUAUGAAAGGCAACAAGGGACUAGAUUGUGGAGGGUUUAAAUGUGAAAAGGAGUUUAUAUUUUAUCCUAGGGAGCCACUCAAGAUGCAAAGAAAGAAAAUCAAAGGGUCAGACAUGUUUUACGAACAUUAAUUUGGCAGAAUGGGCAGAUUAGAGAGGAGGUGAAACAAAAUGGAGCAAACAAAUGAUAUAAUAUAGCUAAAACUAUAUAAGUUGAGGAAUUAAUGUACUGAACUAUGAAUUUCCUUGGGGUAAGAAACCAGUCUUAUUUAGCAUAUCAUCUCCCUUAACUGCUUACACACAAUAUUUUGUGCACAGUGGAGCUCCUUAAUAUUUUGUUGAAUGGUUGAGAAAGUCUUUAAAGAAGAAAAAUGAAGAAAAGGAUGUCCCACAGUCUUAGUGCUUAACCUGCCUAUUGCCCUAGAAAAUUAGUUCCCAAGAAUCAUGUAUGGUCAUUCAAGAAUGAUCCUCAGAAAGAGAUAUGCUGCCUACCCUCCCGGCCAAACACAGGGCAAGGCCUGAACCAUUCCAUACCCGAGAAAACUGAGCUCGAGACUAAACAGCCCUCCCACUCGGGACGAAAACAUCCUCCGUGCACUCCGGAGGAUCAGCUCUGGGACCCAGGCUCCGCCCGCCCCCUUCCCGUGGGUGAGUCGAGGGCGUGGGUUGGUCGGGGCAAUG